AUUGAACGCUGGCGGCAUGCUUUACACAUGCAAGUCGAACGGUAACAGGCCGCAAGGUGCUGACGAGUGGCGAACGGGUGAGUAAUGCAUCGGAACGUGCCCAAUCGUGGGGGAUAACGCAGCGAAAGCUGUGCUAAUACCGCAUACGAUCUGUGGAUGAAAGCGGGGGACUCGCCAGGGCCUCGCGCGAUUGGAGCGGCCGAUGUCAGAUUAGGUAGUUGGUGAGGUAAAGGCUCACCAAGCCAACGAUCUGUAGCUGGUCUGAGAGGACGACCAGCCACACUGGGACUGAGACACGGCCCAGACUCCUACGGGAGGCAGCAGUGGGGAAUUUUGGACAAUGGGGGCAACCCCGAUCCAGCAAUGCCGCGUGCAGGAAGAAGGCCUUCGGGUUGUAAACUGCUUUUGUACGGAACGAAACGGUCUGGGUUAAUACCCUGGGCUAAUGACGGUACCGUAAGAAUAAGCACCGGCUAACUACGUGCCAGCAGCCGCAGUAA
This 500-nucleotide ribosomal RNA is filed under the name uncultured bacterium. Its description in RNAcentral is "partial 16S ribosomal RNA". It matches the Rfam family "Bacterial small subunit ribosomal RNA", at positions 30 to 523 of the family's 1533-position model. The record is from RNAcentral.